Non-coding RNA from Nicotiana tabacum (common tobacco), 2868 nucleotides. The record is from RefSeq and is a predicted model, not a curated record. NCBI's taxonomy places the organism in Eukaryota, Viridiplantae, Streptophyta, Magnoliopsida, Solanales, Solanaceae.
UAGAACUGGCGGGUCGGAUCUGGAGAUUCACUAUAAAUCCCCAAAUUUUGCCGCCAUUUCAAUAAAAUUCAAAUAAGAAAGCAGUAGCAGAUGAAUGUAUGAUCGAGAGAGAAGCUCAACACGGAAAAUACGUGCUAGGGUUCAAUUCCGUAGGAAACUUACAUUCCGCUGUCAGAUUUCGGAUUCUUGGAAGGUUUUGUGGAAUUUGUACAGCUCUACAUAGGUUUCGUACCUCGCGAUUAGAUUUCGAUUUGAAUUUCAAUUUCAAAUGCGUUAUUUUCUUGUCUCUGAUCUUCAGGUUAUUCCUACACUUGAUACUCAUCGGCGAUUUAUGAACUCUAAGUUCCGAUUUUGCUUGUAUUUCAAAUUCGUUUAGGACCGAAAGUAUUGUGGAUAAGCCAGUUAUUGAGCUCGUCUGAAGGUGAAAAUUUGUUGCCCAAGCACUUGAUAUUCUUAUUAUUUGUUUCGAGGGUUGAAAAAUAUAGGACUGAGGCAUUGAGAUCAUAUUUCCAGCUUGUUUGGUAAUGAGAUAUAGUAGUUGUAGUAGUAGUAGUUGUUGUGGUAAACUGAGCAUUUUACACUACCGGUGUAGUUUAGCUGAUAGCUGGUUAAUAUCUUUUACAGUUUGUCAAUUUUUAUCUAUUAUAUACAGUUACCUAUUAGUUGGCUUUAGUUGAUUUUAAGUACCGGGUAGUGUAAAAUAUUUUCUCUGUGUAAAACUUAAACCAUUUGUGAAGAAUUUGCUGUGCAACUACAUUCUGGCUAAUACUUCUGUUUACCUGAAUUCUUAGUUAUCUUGGUUCAUGCGUAAUCAUGAUGUUUUUCUUUGUAGAAAGUUGAGUAUUCAUCACCAUGAUAAACUCUGAUUUUGUCAACGCAUAAGCAGCAAGCAAUUUCAAGUGAUAGUUAGCUAGCUUUUGUAUGCCAGUUAUCAAAACUAGUUUUGUCAUUUUUGUGUUCCCAGUUAGUUUACUUCAGCUAUCCAAGUAUGAACUUUGAUAUUUCAACAGUUUAUAAGCAGCUAGAGGUUUCAGUUAUUGGAUAUUCUAGCAGCCAUUAGGCAGUUUUUCUUUCAAAUCAAGAAUGUUUGAAAUUGGAUUAGCCAGCUACAGCUGGCUGUUAAGUGGAUUGUCUCUUUCUGUAACUUGAGAUGCAAAGGUUGUUCUGCAAUGUUUUUGACUUUGCUGUAGCGAUAAUUUAGUCAUUUCUUAUUGACUAUUCUGUGUCUAUAUCCAUAGAAUGCAUUGGAUCAGAAAUGUUAUGCUCGGAAUUUUGAAUGAUUCCAGAACUUUGUAUAAUGUGCUAUGAAAUUGACAAUCAUCUUUGAAUGUUGAGAUGAGAUGCAAUGCUUGCUGGCGAGAACUGGAAGGACAGGCCAUCACCACCACUUGUGGCCACGUCUUCUGCCCGAACGAUGCUAGUAAGAUUCUCAGCAAUGAUGCCGCUUGUCCUAUCUGUGAUCAAGUUCUGUCUAAAAGUCUCAUGAAACCUGUGGAUGUUAAUCCAAGUGAUGAAUGGGCAAAUAUGGUCAUGACUGGAAUAUCACCACAGAUAUUAAUGAAGAGUGCCUACAAAAGUGUGACGUUCUACAUUGGGCAAAAAGAAUUGGAAAUGCAAUUCAAGGUGAACAAGUUAGUCGCUCAAUACCAACAGAAAUGUGAGAUGAUGCAAGAGAAAUUCGCUGAAAAGUUUGAGCAAGUGCGUACUGCAUACCAGAAAGUGGCUAAAAAGUGCCAAAUGCUGGAACAAGAGAUCGAGAGCUUAUCUAAAGACAAGCAGGAACUCCAAGAAAAGUUUGCUGAGAAAUCCAGGCAAAAAAGAAAACUUGAUGAAAUGUAUGAUCAGUUGAGAAAUGAAUAUGAUUCAGUAAAGCGCUCAGCCAUUCAGCCAAGUAAUUUCUUUUCAAGGACAGAGCCUGAUAUGUUCGCAAAUCCUGCUAAUAUGAUGGACAACAGAGAUCAUAUGGGAAAAGAUUGGUCGGUCACUCCUGAAACUCCAGGACCAAGAGAAGACAUAUGGCCUCCAGCAAGAAAGAAUAGUUCCAACUCUGGCCCUUUCGAUAUCUCGAGUGGAUCCCCUGCAAGACAAUCAGCAAUACCAGUGGAUACUGGAAAUAGAAGAGCAAGUGCUCGUCCUAUGCUUGGUGUUGGAACUGGAACAAGCAAUCCCUCACAGACCCUUAGGAAUCUCAUCCUUUCACCGAUUAAGAGACCUCAGCUCUCCCGCAACCGACCACAGAUGUUCACGUUUUGAAGUCGGGAGAUCUUUCAAUUUCAAUAAUGUGGAGAAAUAUAUACUUGAGAUGCAAGAAUGGAUCAGGUUUCCUGACAUUUUACAGUGGGAAACUUUGUUUUGUAUGCCAGAUAUUGGGUGUUUGGAGUGUAAAAAUAUGAAGAAAAGAUGCUCGAGCUAUAGGAGAAGAGGUUGGAUUUGGUGCACCCUUAGCAGUGAAGUCGAGAUAAGGCAUUAGCCUUAACAUCCGCACCUGGGCACAACAGAGAUGAAGGAACAGAGGGUGGAUGCUUCACAUCCACCCCAGCAUGCGAUGCUGAGAAGUUGAAGCUGAGGCGGACGCGAAGCAUCCAUCCCAACAUCAAUCCCUGAAGCUGAGGCGGAAUAGAAAAAAGGUAAACUUUGGCCCAUGACUUUUGUACGCAAUAUAUAAGCCAAAACGCCUCUUUUAGGUGAUCUAACACACUUGGAAGCGGAGAAAAGCCAUCACAGAGUCCGAAAACCACGGAAUUCGUCUUGAGUUCUUACUUUUUCCUUCUUUUAUUGAUUUGUAUGUAUUCUUGGGAAUUAUUUGAGAUUGCUACCAUAACUAUGCGUGGCUAAACUCAUUUAUUCUGGGAUUAUGGUUUUACAUGA